This 6151-nucleotide long non-coding RNA is filed under the name Sorghum bicolor (sorghum). Its description in RNAcentral is "long non-coding RNA (SBIC_LNC009323)". The record is from RNAcentral. Lineage: Eukaryota; Viridiplantae; Streptophyta; Magnoliopsida; Poales; Poaceae.
UGCAGAUGGAAUGUAACUUUAGAAUUAUUUAGUUGGAAAUGAUUGAGUACAACCACAGGGAUUUAAGUGCAAUAGCUUGAUCUGAUGCAUGACAGUGCCAGGUUAUAAACAAACAAGGUGUCCAUAUGCCAGCUGUCUCCAAUUUGAAGCAUAAAUGAUCAGAGUGCAGAGAUUUUAAACACACUCCAAAAACAAUGAAACAUGAACUAGAAAAUUCCUGACACUUGACCACACACUUGCUCAAAUGCUAUACCAACUUGAAAGACCUUUAAUAAUCAUGUUAAACAGCCAUAGUUCUAAAGGGAAAUCGCCAAGCCUAAUAAAGUGAUGCCAAGGUUUUACCAUACCAACUGUCUUCGUUAACUGAAAAUACAUCCAUGCAUAUGCAGUACAAAUAAACUCUUCUAUAAUGCUUUCAUUUCUUAAUGAUGUUUUAAUCUAAACUAAGGAAAUUAUUCUCUUUCAAAUGAUGUUACAAUGUUAUACAAUAUCAAGAAGGAACAAAACUAAAUCUUCCUAAACUGCACCUACAUUACCUAGUUGAUACAUUGUGAAAGACAAGCAGGCUCAAUCUGUUGGCUCACUGAGGAUGGCCAGCUUCAAAGACAAAUGAAUUUAAUCACAUAGAAAGAGACAAAAGUAGUAGAUGACAGGGUUAGCCUAGUGUUAGCCUAGUUAUCUUUACUUUGCUGUAAGUGUUUAUUUACCUAAUAGGUUCCUUGGCAGCCAAGUUGAAUAUGGUGCCUUGUGAACAAGUUGCUGGUGGACAGCAUCUCUAGUUUGUUAGAGUCUGUCAGGGAUAUGUUGGGGUGCUGUCUGCCCUCUAGGCUAUAUAUGCAGCAGCCCCCUCACCCUUGUAUUGUGUGGUUCUGGUUUUGCAAUUUCAAUACAAUCCAAGCGGCCUCUCUUGGCCAAGCUGCCCUCUGGCAGUUCAAUCCUAUUGUUUGCAAUCCAGUUCAUGCCAACAAUUGGUAUCCAGAGCGAGGUUUAGAGAUCCUAGGGGCCAUGUCUACCUCAAGCCAAGAGCCAGAGUAGCACAAGCUGCAGCCGCCGCCGCCGCGGGCGCCUACUCAGAGGUUGGCGCCGUGGUGAACCCAGGAGGCGAUCGCGCCAGGCGCUUGGCAGUGGCAGAGGCCGCAGCCGCGCAGGCAGCACAGGCGGCGCGAGAGGCAGCAGCAGCAGCUCAGGAGGCGGCCGCCACGGCCGCGGCUCUCCGCGCGGAGGUGGACCGGGAGCCGCGCGUGUACGGGCGGAGGAGCCCUGAUCCGCGCAGCGGGAGCCCGUCGUGGAGCCCUGAGCGGCAUCGCCGGGCUCAAUCUCCGUCGCCCGCUCGCCGUCGAGGACGCGGAGGCCGUCGCGGAUCUCCGGUGGUCCAGACGGUGUACAAGGAUGGCGGCGCGGGGACUCCAUGGCCGAUGCUGACGAAGUCGAACUACCAUGAGUGGAGCACGUUCAUGCGACUCAAGAUGCAGGCCCGCCAGCUCUGGGACGCCGUCGAGUAUGGCGAUCUCCCGUACCACGACGAUCGGCGCGCGCUGGAGGCUAUCAUCGCGGGAGUUCCACAGGAGAUGCAGGUGUCGCUCGCGGACAAGCUCACCGCCAAGGACGCCUGGGACUCCAUCGCCGCAGCGCGCAUCGGCGUCGACCGCGUCCGCCGCGCCACGCUACGACUACGCAAUGAGUGGGAGAACCUCUCCUUCCACCCAGGGGAGCACAUCGAGGACUUCGCUCUCCGCCUCGCCACGCUGAAGCAGCAGAUGAUCCUCCACGGCGAGAGGAACAUGGACGAGGAGCGAGCGGUGGAGAAGCUUCUUCGUGCUAUGCCCAGGAAGUACGCGCAGCUCAAGAUCGCCUUCGAGACCCUGCUCGACUUCCAGGACCUCACCAUCGAGGAAGUAAUCGGGAGGUUGAAGACGGUGGACGACCUCGACGACGAUCCUGCGCACGAGCCCGCGUCCGUCGGCGGCAAGCUUAUGCUCACAGAGGAGCAGUGGCUGGCGCGCCAGAAGGAGGACGCGGGUGGCGCGGGCUCCUCCAGCGGCGAAGCACGUCGACGGCCGUGUGGCGGAAGGAAGCAGAAGGGCAAGACCGCCAAGGGAGGAGAAUGUGAUGGUGGCGGGCAAGGUGCGAAGGCAGGAGGCGCCGGCGGCGACCACAAGGCUAACCGCGACGACCUCUGCCUCAACUGCCGUCGCCCCGGUCACUGGGCAAAGGACUGCCCCGAGCCUCGGCGCGAGCGUGGCGGAGCAGCUCACGUCGCGCAGGCCGAUGACGGCGAGGCGGCCCUCUUCCUCGCCCACGGCUUCAUCGAGCUGGACGCGGACCACGGCUUCUGCUCCAAGGCCGACGUCGACAUCAGCGAGCCCAGAGCACGCGCGUUCCUCAACAACGGCGGCGAAGAUAUGCUCAACGGCUGGUACCUCGACAGCGGCGCCACCCACCACAUGACCGGACGUCGCGAGCUGUUCUCCGACCUCGACACAUCAGUGCGCGGUACGGUGCGGUUCGGCGACGCGUCAAGGGUGGAGAUUCAAGGCGUCGGCUCCAUCGUGUUCCAGGCGAAGAACGGAGAGCAUCGCGUGCUGCAGGGCGUCUACUUCAUCCCGGCGCUGCGCAACUCCAUCAUGAGCCUGGGCCAGCUGGAUGAAGGAGGGUCCAAGGUGGAGAUCAACCAUGGCGUGCUGCGCAUCUGGGAUCCACGUGGGCGUCUUCUGGUCAAGGUGAACCGCGGACCCAGCCACCUCUACGUCCUCCACCUCGACGCCGCGCAGCCGGUCUGCCUCGCCGCAAGGAAGGACGACACCGACUGGCUUUGGCACGAGCGAUUCGGCCACCUCAACUUCGAGGCACUGCACCAGCUCGGCCAGCACUCCAUGGCGCGCGGACUCCCUCUCAUCAAGCAUGCAGAGCAGGUCUGCGAUACGUGCCUCGCCACCAAGCAGCGCCGGCGGCCGUUUCCACAGAAAGCCCAGUACCGCGCCGAGGACCCGCUGGAGCUCGUCCACGCCGAUCUGUGCGGCCCGGUGACGCCAGCAACUCCUGGCGGGCGCCGGUACUUCCUCCUGAUGGUUGAUGAUGCUUCGCGCUUCAUGUGGGUCGCCCUCCUCUCCACCAAGGAUGCUGCAGCAGAUGCUGUGAAGAUGAUCAAGGCAGAAGCAGAGAAGCAGAGCGGACACGCGCUGAAGGUUCUGCGCACCGACAACGGCGGGGAGUUCACCGUCGCCGAGUCCGCGGACUACUGCGCCGGCGAAGGUGUUCGACGCCACUUCAGCGCACCUCACUCGCCGCAGCAGAACGGAGUGGUUGAGCGCCGCAAUCAGACUGUGGUUGCCACCGCCCGUGCGCUGCUGAAGCAGAGGAGGUUGCCGGCCAAGUACUGGGGAGAAGCGGUCGUGACGGCGGUACAUCUGCUCAACCGAUCGCCGACCAAGAGCUUGCUGGGCAAGACCCCGUACGAGGCGCGCGCCGUCGGUGAGCCAUCUCAAGGUCUUCGGCUGCGUCGCCUAUGUCAAGGACUUGGGCCAGUUGUGCAAGCUCGACGACCGCGGGAAGCCGGGCGUCUUCAUCGGCUACGCGGAAGGGGCAAAGUCUUACCGGAUCCUUGAUCCGGCCACGCAGCGGGUCAAGGUAAGCCGUGACGUGGUCUUUGAUGAAGGUCGCGGCUGGGAUUGGUCCACUCCGGGCGCAGGAUGCUCAGCAGCGGCAGGGAGCGAGUUCACCAUGGAGCUCUGGACGCCGGGAGAUCAAGGAGGGGCUCCUGAAGAUUCCUUGUCGGCAAGUCAAGCUCCGAGGGAGUUCAAGCAGAGAGAGCCAACUCCAAUUGGGCCCUCUGCUCGGACACCGUCGCCAUCACCAACGGCGCCACCACGCCCUGCUUCCCCUGCGCCACCAUCGUCGGGCUCUGCUUCGUCUUCGACACCAGCGGCUUCAUCAGGUCCAGCUGAGGACGGUGGCCGCGUGGAGUUCGCCACUCCGCUUGAAGAAGAUGAAGACCGCCUCGACGCCUUCCACGACGAUGAUGAGCCACUGCGAUACCGCACGGUGGGCAACAUCUUGGGCGACGCGCCUACACCGGAGCCUCCCCCGCGCCUCUUCGCCGAGCUCCACCUGACGCACGCCGGAGAACCGGCCAGCUACGCCGAGGCCAAGGAAGACCCUGCCUGGCGAGCGGCAAUGGAGCAGGAGCUUGCGUCGGUGGAACAGAACUCCACCUGGGAGCUGGUCAAUCUCCCUGCCGGUCAUCGCCCCAUUUCUUUGAAGUGGGUGUUCAAGCUCAAGAAGAACGAGCUGGGCGCGGUGAUCAAGCACAAGGCCAGGCUCGUGGCGCGCGGCUUCGUCCAGCAAGAAGGGAUCGACUUCGACGAUGCGUUUGCUCCAGUGGCACGCAUGGAGUCUGUUCGGGUCCUCCUCACGCUGGCGGCUUAAGAAGGGUGGCGUGUCCAUCACAUGGACAUCAAGUCCGCCUUCCUCAAUGGCGACCUCAAGGAGGAGGUGUAUGUGCAGCAGCCGCCAGGCUACACCGUCGUCGGAGAAGAAGGGAAGGUUUACAGGCUGCACAAGGCUCCCUACGGCCUGCGGCAAGCUCCGCGCGCGUGGAACGCAAAGCUGGACGGCACCUUGAAGGCCAUGGGUUUCCAGCAAAGCGCCCACGAAGCGGCGAUGUACAGGCGGGGCAGUGGGCACACUGUCCUGCUUGUCGGCUUCUACGUCGACGAUCUGAUCAUCACCGGCGCCGAAGAAGGUGAAGUGGAGGCGUUCAAGGCUCAGAUGAAGAAGACCUUCGACAUGAGCGACCUCGGCGCACUCAGCUUCUACCUCGGCGUCGAGGUGCACCAGGAUGCCACCGGGAUCACUCUGAGGCAAACUCACUAUGCCAAGAGGAUUCUUGAGUUGGGGGGCAUGGAUGGCUGCAAUCCUGCCAACACUCCGAUGGAGGAGCGUCUUCGACUGAGCAAGAACAGCACAGCUGCUCAGGUCGACCCCACUCACUACCGGCGCCUCAUCGGAAGCCUGCGCUACCUGGUGCAUACUCGCCCUGAUCUGGCCUACGCCGUCGGCUUUGUGAGUCGGUUCAUGGAGCGGCCAACAGUUGAGCAUCAAGGGGCAGUCAAGCGAAUCCUGCGCUAUCUCGCUGGUACACUUGAUUUCGGCCUCCACUACACUAAGGCUCCAGGCGGCACUCGCUUCAUCGGCUACACCGACAGUGAUCUUGCCGGCGACGUUGAUACGAGCAAGAGUACGAGUGGAUCACUCUUCUUCCUUGGCAGCUGCCUGGUCAGUUGGCAUUCCAUCAAGCAGAAGGUGGUGGCUCUCUCAAGCUGUGAAGCUGAAUACAUUGCUGCUUCCACUGCUGCUACUCAAGCAUUGUGGCUGUCACGGCUGCUGGCUGAGCUCCUUGGCAGAGGUGUCGAGGUGGUGGAACUGAAGAUGGACAGCAAAUCAGCACUUGCUCUGGCCAAGAAUCCAGUCUUCCAUGAGAAGAGCAAGCACAUCAGGAUCAAGUAUCAUUUCCUUAGAAGUUGCCUGGAAGAUGGAACCAUCAAGGCUGAGCAUGUGUCUACUACUGAUCAGCUCGCUGACAUUCUGACCAAGUCUCUGGGCAAGGCAAAAUUCCAGGAGAUGAGGGGAAGAAUUGGCUUGAGGCAGAUCAUCCCCAAGGCACACAAGGCUAAGGGGGAGAAUUGACAGGGUUAGCCUAGUGUUAGCCUAGUUAUCUUUACUUUGCUGUAAUUUACUUUGCUGUAAGUGUUUAUUUACCUAAUAGGUUCCUUGGCAGCCAAGUUGAAUAUGGUGCCUUGUGAACCAAGCUGCUGGUGGACAGCAUCUCUAGUUUGUUAGAGUCUGUCAGGGAUAUGUUGGGGUGCUGUCUGCCCUCUAGGCUAUAUAUGCAGCAGCCCCCUCACCCUUGUAUUGUGUGGUUCUGGUUUUGCAAUUUCAAUACAAUCCAAGCGGCCUCUCUUGGCCAAGCUGCCCUCUGGCAGUUCAAUCCUAUUGUUUGCAAUCCAGUUCACGCCAACAUUAGAGGUAUGUAAUUAUAUUAUCUCUCUCUCUCUCUCUAGUAAACAUGAACAAGUAAAGAAUGCCAUUCAGAAGAACAGUGCAAGUAUUUUGUUAUGUAUCAUCCAGCUUACAAAGGAAAGAAAAGACUCAU